Molecule: ribosomal RNA, 484 nt
Filed under: uncultured bacterium
Lineage: Bacteria
Description: bacterial SSU rRNA
Rfam family: Bacterial small subunit ribosomal RNA
Source: RNAcentral
CUACGUGCCAGCAGCCGCGGUAAUACGUAUGUCMCAAGCGUUAUCCGGAUUUAUUGGGCGUAAAGCGCGUCUAGGUGGUUAUAUAAGUCUGAUGUGAAAAUSCAGGGCUCAACUCUGUAUUGCGUUGGAAMCUGUAUAACUAGAGUACUGGAGAGGUAAGCGGAACUACAAGUGUAGAGGUGAAAUUCGUAGAUAUUUGUAGGAAUGCCGAUGGGGAAGCCAGCUUACUGGACAGAUACUGACGCUGAAGCGCGAAAGCGUGGGUAGCAAACAGGAUUAGAUACCCUGGUAGUCCACGCUGUAAACGAUGAUUACUAGGUGUUGGGGGUCGMACCUCAGCGCCCAAGCAAACGCGAUAAGUAAUCCGCCUGGGGAGUACGUACGCAAGUAUGAAACUCAAAGGAAUUGACGGGGACCCGCACAAGCGGUGGAGCAUGUGGUUUAAUUCGACGCAACGCGAGGAACCUUACCAGCGUUUGACAUC